Molecule: long non-coding RNA, 2055 nt
Filed under: Canis lupus familiaris (dog)
Lineage: Eukaryota; Metazoa; Chordata; Mammalia; Carnivora; Canidae
Description: lncRNA (ENSCAFG00040001786.1)
Source: RNAcentral
AUGCCCUGCUACCUCCCUCCACUGACUUCCCUCCAGACGUGUACCACCACCCCCCCCCCGUCUUGUCCCCAGCUUCCCUCCACACUGUCUGCCCCCAAAACGUUUCUUCUCCCGUCUGUUUCCAUACCUCAGCUGCCGCUCCAAGAACGCUCCCUCACCCCCUCACCCGGGGCCCUCUACUUCACACACGCUCCGCUCCACCUGCCCCCUGCAGGGUCCAACCCAGUUUCCUGUUGCUGCUCCCGCACCCACACCUAUACCUCCCCCGAGAACCCUCUCCGUCUCACUCAUCUCUGUCAGCCGCUGAAUACCGCGCACACGUCCCGUGCAUCGCCCCCACCCCCCUGCUCCACCGCCCUCACUUCCCUCAAACUCUGGCCCGGCUCCAGUCACCUUCCUCCUCCUGCCCCGCGCGGCUCUCCCCUGAGCACCACUCACCAGAGACGCCGGCCUUCUCCCUCAGCAGGUCCUCCCUCCGCACGUCCCACGGGUCCAGCCUCAACACUGUCCUGCGUCCUCCUCGCCGUCCCCGCACGCCUCCUGGCCGGGCACCGUCCUCACGUCCCUCCGAGGCCUCUGAGCCUCGGGGCCUCUGGGCCUCCCCUCACCCCUCACCCCUCACACACGCCUCGCGCCUGCACACCUCCACGCCCCUCCCGCCCCUCCGGGCACCCCUGCGCCCCCGCAGCCCCUCCCCGCACCACCCUCCCCUACCUGCACACCUUUCUCCACGCCUCCCCUCCUGCCGCCCGGCUCCCGGCCCUCACACGCAGCCCCGGCCGGGACAUCCGCCCCUCCCGCCCCUCCCGCCCCUCCCCCGGGCCCCCACACCCUCCCCGCACUCCCACCACGCUCGCCCCUCCCUCCCCGGACCCCCCUCGCACCCCCGCCCCCCGGCCGCCCUGCGCCGCCCCCGCGCUCGCCCCCGCGCUCGCCCCGGCCCGGGUGGGCCCUCGCGCCCCGCUGGGCCGGAUCCCUCCACCGCUCAUUCUUCCCCAGGUCUGCCCACACCCUCCGCCGGCCCUGCCCCCAUUGUCCUCCAACACCUGCCCAAGCCCCUCGCCGUCACCCCCACCGGGGCCCCCGCGCCGCGCCCCCCGCCCGCGCCCUCCCCUCACUCGGGGCCGGGACCCGCGAGCCCCCGAGGGUGAGGACGCGAGGACGCCCGCCCGCCCGCCGCCCGCCGCCCGCCGCCCUGGCCCUGACCCGAAGCGGCCGCGGCAGCGCAGCGGCGGCCACCAUGCCGGAGCCACGGCGCCCAGGACUGCUCCCCGCUCUCCGCCCGGGCCGCCGCCGCCGCCGCCGCCGCCGCCGCUGCUAAGGACGCACAACAAACAAUGCGGGGCCCGGGCCGGCUCCGCCAACCGCCUCGGCCGCCUCGGCCGCCUCAGCCGCCUCAGCCGCCUCAACCGCCACCUUAACCGCCGCCCGCCCGGGACGGCCCGCCGCGCAGGCGCCUACCCGAACCGCCGCGCUCUGCCUGCGCCCGGUCCCCGCGCCCGCUCCCGCUCCGCCGCCGCCGCCACCUCGUCCGCCCGCGUCCCCGGCUCCUCAGCCCAGCGGCGGCGGCUGCGGCGGCUGCUGCCCUGGUGGCGCUCGCGGCUCCGCUCUCCGCUUCGGCGGCGGCGGCGGCGGCGGCGGCGGCGGCGGCGAGCACGUGACGCCGCCCGGCGCGCCCAUUGGCCGACGCCGGGGGGCGGGCCCCGCGGCUGCUGGGGAACGGAAAGCCCGCCCCCUCGCUCGCCGCGCGCCCCCUCCACGCGCCCUCCGCCGUACCUGAGAGCGCCCGCCCGCGCCGGCCCGCCCGCCCGCCCGCCCGCCCGCGCCGGCCGCACCGCCGCCUGCGCCGACUGCGCACCUGGGAGCGCGCAGGAGCCACCCGCCGCUGGAGGCCGCGUGCACCUGCGAGCGGACGCUUACGGUUACUCCUGGCGCUUCUUUGGUGCAGCAUUCUGCCAGCCCAAAACUGAGCCCUUCGCUGAGUACCUGGUGCAUGUCAGGUGCUAUGCUGGGUGUCUGGAUGCACAAGCGAAUGAGACCAGGUCCUUGCACUAA